GGUCUCAGUUCGGACUGUAGGCUGCAACUCGCCUACACGAAGUUGGAAUUGCUAGUAAUCGUGGAUCAGCAUGCCACGGUGAAUACGUUCCCGGGUCUUGUACACACCGCCCGUCACACCAUGGGAGCUGGUAACACCCGAAGUCAGUAGUCUAACCGCAAGGAGGACGCUGCCGAAGGUGGGAUUAGCGACUGGGGUGAAGUCGUAACAAGGUAAC
RNAcentral lists this ribosomal RNA (217 nucleotides) under uncultured bacterium. RNAcentral describes it as "partial 16S ribosomal RNA". It matches the Rfam family "Bacterial small subunit ribosomal RNA", at positions 1284 to 1500 of the family's 1533-position model. The record is from RNAcentral.